Molecule: transfer RNA, 90 nt
Filed under: Paralaudakia lehmanni (Turkestan rock agama)
Lineage: Eukaryota; Metazoa; Chordata; Lepidosauria; Squamata; Agamidae
Description: tRNA-Asn
Source: RNAcentral
ACUUUUAUUUUUCGUAGGCUAAACUGAUGCUCGCUGGCUUGGGCAAAUAGCUGUUAACUAUUUUUUGUGGGAUCGAGGCCCACUGGUUUU